This 350-nucleotide ribosomal RNA is filed under the name Nanos sp. 1 HKW-2010. RNAcentral describes it as "partial 16S ribosomal RNA". Lineage: Eukaryota; Metazoa; Arthropoda; Insecta; Coleoptera; Scarabaeidae. The record is from RNAcentral.
ACCUGCCCUAUGAUGAGUUAAAUGGCUGCGGUAUUUUGACCGUACAAAGGUAGCAUAAUCAUUAGUUUUUUAAUUGAGAACUGGUAUGAAAGGUUGAACGAAAAAGAGACUGUCUCAAUUUAAUUUAAAUUAGAAUUUUAUUUUUAAGUAAGAAAGCUUAAAUGUUUUUAAAAGACGAGAAGACCCUAUAGAGUUUUAUAUUUAAAUAUUUAUAUAAAAAAUUAAAGAAUUAAUUUUUUUUUAUAAAUAUUAAUGUAUUUAAUUGGGGCGAUUAAAAAAUUUAAUUAACUUUUUUUAAAUUUAAACAUUAAUUUAUGAAUAAGUGAUCCAUAUUUAAUGAUUAUAAGAUU